This 719-nucleotide long non-coding RNA is filed under the name Malus domestica (apple). Its description in RNAcentral is "long non-coding RNA (MDOM_LNC007413)". The record is from RNAcentral. Lineage: Eukaryota; Viridiplantae; Streptophyta; Magnoliopsida; Rosales; Rosaceae.
UCGGAAGCGAUCUUUGCGAAUCUCCUCCGCCUCCACUGCUUCCAGUAGGCGCCGAGUCGCCGUUCUGCUCGGCCGGCAAUGAGGACAUGGUUUUUUGGCCUUUGGCUUCUCGGAUCUGAGCUCUAAUAGCAACUGAUAUACCAAAAAUCCGUUCAACAAAUAAAUAAAUAAAAAACGUUAUUUUAUUUAAUUAAAAUGAUUUAACGCUCCGUUUGGUUGCCGAGAAACCGCGGAGGAUUAGAAAACAAAAAUUUCUAGAGAUAUGAAAUUUUACUUCCUAUUAUUUUUUGUGUAAUUAGAUUUCUAGGUAUUGGAAAUGGAAAAUUCAAUAUAAAAAAUGGAAUUAAAUCAAGGAGCCGGCGUGUAUUACCUGGAAAGCGUGGAUUUAAGGGUUUGGGGAUGAACAGAGAGUAGGGAUUUUCCCACCAACCAAACAGAAAAGUUGGAUUGGACAUGAAAGCAGACGAGAUCUCCCACCAACCAAACAGAAAAGUUGGAUUGGAGACGAAAGCCAACUCGAUCGAUCUCGUCUGCUGCUGGUCUUGCUGCAGCAGGCAGUACCGGAAGCAGCAGCUCAGAGAGAGGGAGAGACGAGAGAGAAGAGGGUGAUGAUUUCGAUUUUGUUGUUUCUAAAAGGUUCUGGAGGAGGAGUUAAUGGUAGGACUGUAGGAGGGAGAUGGAAAAAGGGUGUAUUUGUGGGUUCGAGAAGGUAAGGGACA